AUCUAAGUAGCUUAAAAAGAGCAUUGCAUUGAAGCUGUAAGUGUGGUAGUUUACCCUUAGGUG
RNAcentral lists this transfer RNA (63 nucleotides) under Pandalus japonicus. RNAcentral describes it as "tRNA-Phe". Lineage: Eukaryota; Metazoa; Arthropoda; Malacostraca; Decapoda; Pandalidae. The record is from RNAcentral.